GACGUAGGGCGCAAGCGUUGUCCGGAAUUACUGGGCGUAAAGGGCUCGUAGGCGGCCAACUAAGUCCGACGUGAAAUCCCCAGGCUUAACCUGGGAACUGCGUCGGAUACUGGAUGGCUUGAAUUCGGGAGAGGGAUGCAGAAUUCCAGGUGUAGCGGUGAAAUGCGUAGAUAUCUGGAGGAAUACCGGUGGCGAAGGCGGCAUCCUGGACCGACAUUGACGCUGAUGAGCGAAAGCUAGGGGAGCAAACGGG
This 253-nucleotide ribosomal RNA is filed under the name uncultured bacterium. Its description in RNAcentral is "partial 16S ribosomal RNA". It matches the Rfam family "Bacterial small subunit ribosomal RNA", at positions 524 to 776 of the family's 1533-position model. The record is from RNAcentral.